CCGGUGAAGUGUUCGGAUUGCGGCGACGUGGGCGGUUCGCUGCCCGCGACGUUGUGAGAAGUCCACUGAACCUUAUCAUUUAGAGGAAGGAGAAGUCGUAACAAGGUUUCCGUAGGUGAACCUGCGGAAGGAUCAUU
Molecule: ribosomal RNA, 137 nt
Filed under: Astragalus hamosus
Lineage: Eukaryota; Viridiplantae; Streptophyta; Magnoliopsida; Fabales; Fabaceae
Also listed under: 2 other names
Description: partial 18S ribosomal RNA
Rfam family: Eukaryotic small subunit ribosomal RNA
Source: RNAcentral